AGGAAGCCAAAGUAUCUGAUGCACUGGAGAAUGAACACCCAUUCAAAAUCAGAAGUACAGAGAAGUUUUCUGUAAAAUGGAAAUGAGUAUCAUGAAGUUUUAAAUGAACAGUGUAAAACAGAAGACAUCAGCAUUCAUUAGGUCCCAGACCUCUUCGAGAAUCUGAUGAAAUUCUGGACAACCUCUCACUCCCACAAACAAGAUGUACUUGAAUACCUACACAUAAAAUGUUGCAUUCAAUUUUAGAAUGUGAAGAGAUCACUUGAAGCCUAUCCAGAGGCCUCUAAGGACGUGACUGGUGCGGUAUUGGUGGCUGCUGGGUCAGAUGAGCUCCCUGCUACUCCAAGAAACAAUAAAUGUUUGCAGCCACUAAGAUUUGGGGGGACUUUUGUUAUUACUGCCUAUCCUGACAGAUCCAGGUGCUACGACUAUUUAAGGGGUGACAGGAUCUCACUCGGGCACCUAGAUGGGAGUGCAGUGGCAUGAACUCCUGGGCUCAGAUGUCCUCCCACCUCAACCUUCUGAGUAGCUGGAAUUACAGGAAUGAACCACCACGCUCAGAUUUCAAGCUCCCUGAAGAUGAAGGCUGAAUCCUACACCUUGCUUGUAUCCUCCAUGGCUCAUUGAACAAGUGCUAGCUACAUGGAGACUGCUCAAUAAAUAUUGAAUAAUUCA
This 675-nucleotide long non-coding RNA is filed under the name Pongo abelii (Sumatran orangutan). RNAcentral's name for it is "lincRNA". Lineage: Eukaryota; Metazoa; Chordata; Mammalia; Primates; Hominidae. The record is from RNAcentral.